Arabidopsis thaliana (thale cress) is the source of this 255-nucleotide long non-coding RNA. RefSeq annotates it as other RNA. The transcript has a single exon. The record is from RefSeq. NCBI's taxonomy places the organism in Eukaryota, Viridiplantae, Streptophyta, Magnoliopsida, Brassicales, Brassicaceae.
GAGAAGCCACCACCUUAGAAUCUUAAACGCUUUUCUCUAAUUCUCUUUUGCCUUUCCAAGUUUAGUUUUCAUUUAAAUCUCACAGUUUUAGGUAUUAUUGAUGUAUAUACAUUCCCUGGAUCCGGGCAUAUGUAUGGAUCACUUUUGUGAAUGAUUCUCCUUUCACAAUGUGAUGCUUUGCUUUGGUUUCAAAUAAGAUGAAGCUUUUUCCGCUUGGAUAUCUUUUUCUCGUAUGGAAAAAGAGCGGUUACUUUG